Molecule: ribosomal RNA, 253 nt
Filed under: uncultured prokaryote
Description: partial 16S ribosomal RNA
Rfam family: Bacterial small subunit ribosomal RNA
Source: RNAcentral
ACGUAGGUGGCGAGCGUUAUCCGGAUUCAUUGGGCGUAAAGCGCUUGUAGGUGGCCGGCUAAGUUGGACGUGAAAACCCCGGGCUCAACUCGGGGGGGCCGUUCAAUACUGGCGGGCUGGAGGGCGUCAGAGGGCAGUGGAAUCCCUGGUGUAGCAGUGAAAUGCGUAGAUAUGCGGAGGAACACCGAUGGCGAAGGCAAUCCCCUGGGCCUGCACUGACGCUCAUGCACGAAAGCGUGGGGAGCAAACAGGA